RNAcentral lists this ribosomal RNA (478 nucleotides) under uncultured bacterium. Its description in RNAcentral is "partial 16S ribosomal RNA". It matches the Rfam family "Bacterial small subunit ribosomal RNA", at positions 28 to 523 of the family's 1533-position model. The record is from RNAcentral.
GACGAACGCUGGCGGCGUGCUUAACACAUGCAAGUCGAACGGUAAGGCCCUUCGGGGUACACGAGUGGCGAACGGGUGAGUAACACGUGGGUGAUCUGCCCUGCACUUCGGGAUAAGCCCGGGAAACUGGGUCUAAUACCGGAUAGGACCCUGGGAUGCAUGUCCUGGGGUGGAAAGCUUUUGCGGUGUGGGGUGGGCCCGCGGCCUAUCAGCUUGUUGGUGGGGUGAUGGCCUACCAAGGCGCCGACGGGUAGCCGGCCUGAGAGGGUGACCGGCCACACUGGGACUGAGAUACGGCCCAGACUCCUACGGGAGGCAGCAGUGGGGAAUAUUGCACAAUGGGCGCAAGCCUGAUGCAGCGACGCCGCGUGAGGGAUGACGGCCUUCGGGUUGUAAACCUCUUUCAGCACCGACGAAGCGCAAGUGACGGUAGGUGCAGAAGAAGGACCGGCCAACUACGUGCCAGCCGCCGCGGUAA